UGUAAGCGUAUACCAAAGUUGUUGCAGUUAAAACGCUCGUAGUCGGAAUUUGGCAGUUCCGGAUGUGUGCACGUCGUGUGCGCACUUCGCGGGGAUUGCUUUUGUGGUCUUGCGUAGGAUGAGGCACUUUUAUUAGUGAACGUCCUCACGCAACCACUUUUUACUGUGAGAAAAUCAGAGUGCUCAAAGCAGGCAUUUGCCGUGAAUGUAUUAGCAUGGAAUAAUAGAAUAGGACUUGGUUCUAUUUUGUGGGUUUGUUGGGACUGAGUAAUGAUUAAGAGGGACAGUUGGGGGCAUUUGUAUUUCGGUGCUAGAGGUGAAAUUCUUAGAUUACCGAAAGACAAACUGCUGCGAAAGCGUCUGCCAAGGAUGUUUUCAUUGA
This 382-nucleotide ribosomal RNA is filed under the name uncultured eukaryote. RNAcentral's name for it is "partial 18S ribosomal RNA". It matches the Rfam family "Eukaryotic small subunit ribosomal RNA", at positions 592 to 976 of the family's 1831-position model. The record is from RNAcentral.